AACGAACGCUGGCGGCAUGCCUAACACAUGCAAGUCGAACGAGACCUUCGGGUCUAGUGGCGCACGGGUGCGUAACGCGUGGGAACCUGCCCUUAGGUUCGGAAUAACUCAGAGAAAUUUGAGCUAAUACCGGAUAAUGUCUUCGGACCAAAGAUUUAUCGCCUUUGGAUGGGCCCGCGUUGGAUUAGCUAGUUGGUGGGGUAAAGGCCUACCAAGGCGACGAUCCAUAGCUGGUCUGAGAGGAUGAUCAGCCACACUGGGACUGAGACACGGCCCAGACUCCUACGGGAGGCAGCAGUGGGGAAUAUUGGACAAUGGGCGAAAGCCUGAUCCAGCAAUGCCGCGUGAGUGAUGAA
RNAcentral lists this ribosomal RNA (356 nucleotides) under uncultured Porphyrobacter sp. Its description in RNAcentral is "bacterial SSU rRNA". It matches the Rfam family "Bacterial small subunit ribosomal RNA", at positions 29 to 412 of the family's 1533-position model. The record is from RNAcentral. Lineage: Bacteria; Pseudomonadati; Pseudomonadota; Alphaproteobacteria; Sphingomonadales; Erythrobacteraceae.